GUUUAUGUAGCUUAAACAACUAAAGCAUGGCGCUGAAAAUGCCAAAAUAGAUACUAACAAUCUCAUGAACA
RNAcentral lists this transfer RNA (71 nucleotides) under Amphiuma means (two-toed amphiuma). RNAcentral's name for it is "tRNA-Phe". It matches the Rfam family "tRNA". From Rfam's summary of the family: Transfer RNA (tRNA) molecules are approximately 80 nucleotides in length. Lineage: Eukaryota; Metazoa; Chordata; Amphibia; Caudata; Amphiumidae. The record is from RNAcentral.